ACGGGUGCGUAACACGUGGAUAACAUUCCGGGAAGCGGGGGAUAGCCCAGGGAAACUUGGAUUAAUACCGCAUGUGGUCGAAAGACUAAAGGUGGGGACCGCAAGGCCUGCCACUUCCCGAUUGGUCCGCGGCCUAUCAGCUAGUUGGUGAGGUAAUGGCUCACCAAGGCUACGACGGGUAGCUGGUCUUAGAGGACGACCAGCCACACUGGAACUGAGACACGGUCCAGACACCUACGGGUGGCAGCAGUCGAGAAUCUUUCACAAUGGGGGCAACCCUGAUGGAGCGACGCCGCGUGGAGGAUAAGGUCUUCGGAUUGUAAACUCCUGUCAUGCGAGAACAAGGCAUUCAGGUUAAUAACCUGGGUGUUUGAUGGUACCGCAAGAGGAAGAGACGGCUAACUCUGUGCCAGCAGCCGCGGUAAUACAGAGGUCUCAAGCGUUGUUCGGAAUCACUGGGCGUAAAGGGUGCGUAGGCUGCGCCGUAAGUCAGAUGUGAAAGCUCAGGGCUCAACCCUGAAAUUGCAUUCGAUACUGCGGUGCUAGAGAGAUGAAGGGGAGUCUAGAAUUUUCGGUGU
RNAcentral lists this ribosomal RNA (578 nucleotides) under uncultured bacterium. RNAcentral describes it as "bacterial SSU rRNA". It matches the Rfam family "Bacterial small subunit ribosomal RNA", at positions 102 to 676 of the family's 1533-position model. The record is from RNAcentral.